Molecule: ribosomal RNA, 468 nt
Filed under: uncultured bacterium
Lineage: Bacteria
Description: partial 16S ribosomal RNA
Rfam family: Bacterial small subunit ribosomal RNA
Source: RNAcentral
GACGAACGCUGGCGGCGUGCUUAACACAUGCAAGUUGAACGGAAAGGUCCUGCUUUUGUGGGGUGCUCGAGUGGCGAACGGGUGAGUAACACGUGAGUAACCUGCCCUUGACUUUGGGAUAACUUCAGGAAACUGGGGCUAAUACCGGAUAGGAGCUCCUGCUCCAUGUUGGGGGUUGGAAAGUUUCGGCGGUUGGGGAUGGACUCGCGGCUUAUCAGCUUGUUGGUGGGGUAGUGGCUUACCAAGGCUUUGACGGGUAGCCGGCCUGAGAGGGUGACCGGGCACAUGGGGACUGAGAGACGGCGCAGACGCGUACGGGAGGCAGCAGGGGGGAAUAUUGCAGAAUGGGGGGAAGCCUGAGGCAGAAACGCCGCGUGCGGGAUGACGGCCUUCGGGUUGUAAACAGAUUUCGACUGUGACGAAGCGUGAGUGACGGUAAUGGGUAAAGAAGCACCGGCUAACUACGUG